GAAACUUACCCAUACGAAGAAUGUAUGCAUGCAUGACUAAGUCACUUUGUAUAAAAGAGUCUGCUAAAUGGCAUAACGUCAUAUAUUAUGUAAGAGAGCAAUCUCAGAUGUGUCACUGCCAGCUGCGUUGCACAAUGGGUCUGCUCCUCCACAAGGUAAACCCAGCAGGUUAGAACAAGAUGAGGUUCUUUUAAACAUGGAAACUGCAGGGAGGAAUGAAGGGACAACAGGUGCUAGUUGAUUUUGAAGAGUGUCGGUGCCUUGAAGGGUACGUUCAGAGAGUGUGUGUGUGUUACUUUCACUGCGGAUGGGAUGCGUUACACCCUCAGUUUUUUAAAGGGAAUAUAUGAGAACUUCAAUUAUAGAGAUGCUAAAGAUAGUCUAUCAAAUUUAAAGUGUUGAGUGACCACACAAAUCCACCUCACCCCCCCCCCUCUCUCUCUGAGACGUUUUUUCUCUCCAUUAACAUUAACACUGAAAAUAACUGUAGUCUAUAUCUUCUCACUCUAAAUAUGUUAGUAAAAUAUCACAGCUUGGUAUCUUUCUGGUCACGCUCCCCUAUAAUAGCGUGGUAGAAAUGUUACCUACUGGAAUAAAGCGCUAGUUAGAUUUUUGGUCCAAAACACCCCAGCAGCCAUCUGGAGCCGCAUGGCCUGUUAUGAGCAGAACUCUUUGGUUGCGUCCCAAAUGGCACCCUUUUCCCUAUAUAGUGCACUACUUUUGACCAGGACCCAUAUGGUUCAAGUGAAAAAUCUUGCACUAUAUUUUUUAUUUAACUAGACAAGUCAGUUAAGAACAAAUUCUUAUUCACAAUGACGGCCUACACCGGCCAAACCCGGACAACGCUGAGCCAAUUGUGCGUCACCCUAUGGGACUCCCAAUCACGGCCGGAUGUGACGCAGCCUGGAUUUGAACCAGGGACUGCAGUGACGCCUGUUGCACUGAGAUGCAGUGCCUUAGACCGCUGUGCCACUCAGAGCCUAUAUAGGGAAUAGUAUGCCAUUUUCCACCGCUUAUCCAUUGCAAGAGUGUCAUUACAGAGUAAACGACACUCUCAUUCCUUCAAGUGCUGAAUACAGCCGACAUCUUACUAAUGUGUAUUGAUUUCAUGUUGAAGAAGUUUAUUUAUCCUAUGCCAGUGGUUCCCAAACUUUUUAUAGACCUGUAUCCCUUCAAACAUUCAACCUCCAGCUGCGUACCCCCUCUAGCACCAGGGUCAGCGCACUCUCAAAUGUUGUUUUUUGCCAUCAUUGUAAGCCUGCCACACACACACUAUACGAUACAUUUAUUAAACAUAAGGAUGAGUGAGUGUUUGUCACAACCCGGCUCGUGGGAAAUGACAAAUAGCUCUUCUAGGACCUGGGCACAAAUAAUAAUAAUCAAUAAUUUUGCUCUUUAUUUAGCCAUCUUACAUAUAAAAACGUAUUUGUUCAUCAAAAAUUGUGAAUAACUCACCACAGGUUAAUGAGAAGAGUGUGCUUGAAAGGAUGCACAUAACUCUGCAAUGUCAUGUUGUAUUGGAGAGUCUCAGUCUUAAAUGAUUUUACACACAGUCUGCCUGUAUUUAGUUUUCAUGCUAGUGAGGGCCGAGAAUCCACUUUCACAUAGGUAUGUGGUUGCAAAGUGCAUUAGUGUCUUAACAGUGAGAUUUUCCAAGGCUGGAUACUCUGAGCGCAGCCAUAUUCAGAUCUGACAGUUGCUUCUGAUUAAAUUCAAUUUUCACAGAACCGCUUGUUGCAAUUUUGAUGAGGUUCUCCUGUUCAGAAAUCGGUAAGUGGACUGGAGACAGUGCAUGAAAGGGAUAACGAAUCCAGUUGUUUGUGUUGUCCGUUUCGGGGACAGUACCUGCGUAAUUGCGCACACAGCUCACUCGUGUGCUUCGCUGUAGCACAUUUGACAUUGUCUGUAAGCAUACAAUGAUGGAAAGACCUGUGUGUUGUCCUUGUUAAUGCAGACAGAGAAGAGAACUUCUUAAUCAUAGCCUCAAUUUUGUCCCGCACAUUGAAUAUAGUUGCGGAGAGUCCCUGUAAUCCUAGAUUCAGAUCAUUCAGGUGAGGAAAAAACAUCACCCAGAUAGGCCAGUCGUGUGAGAAACUCGUCAUCGUGCAAGUGGUCAGACAAGUGAAAAAUUAUGGUCAGUAAAGAACUUUAAGCUCGUCUCUCAAAAAGAACGUGGCAAUACUUUGCCCCUUGAUAACCAGCUCACUUCUGUGCAUGGUAAGAGCGUUACAUAGUCGCUGCCCAUAUCAUUGCAUAAUGCAGAAAAUACACGAGAGUUCAGGGGCCUUGCUUUUACAAAGUUAACCAUUUUUACUGUAGUGUCCAAAAUGUCUUUCAAGCUGUCAGGCUUUCCCUUGGCAGCAAGAGCCUCUCGGUGGAUGCUGCAGUGUACCCAAGUGGCUUCAGGAUCAACUGCUUGCACGCGCGUUACCACUCCACUAUGUCUCCCUGUCAUGGCUUUUGCUCCAUCAGUACAGAUACCAUCACAUCUUGACCAUCAGAGUCCAUUUCAUGUCACAAAGCUGUCCAGUACUUUAAAAGUAUCCUCUCAUGUUGUCCUGGUUUCCAGUGGUUUGCAGAAGAGGAUGUCUUCCUUAAUUGACCCCCCAUAAACGUAACGGACAUAUACCAGGAGCUGUGCCAGGCCCGCCUUGUCUGACUCAUCCAGCUGUAACGCAUAGAAUUCACAGGCUUGUAUGCGAGGCAGUAAUUGUUUCAAAACAUCUCCUGCCAUGUCACUGAUGCGUCGUGAACCAUUGUUGUUUGAUGAAGUCACUGUCUGUAUAGUUGUUUUUUGUCCUUUCCCCCCAAGUCCUUCACAAUAGUAUGGGGCUUGCCUGUCCUAGCCACUCGGUAGCUCACCAUCUAAGACUCUUCUAGCCCCUUCUUAUUAAUGGUAUAUGUUGCUUUUAUACGUCUUAUUACUCGACUUAUUACUUAUUUUUCAAAUUGACAUGUUUUAAUUUCUGACGAAAGACUCAUCGAGUUGUGAGAGUACUUUUGCACAUAUAACACACUGGCUGAGGAAAGGCACUACUCCCAAUAUAAGUGAAUGCUUAAUUAAUGUAGUUUUCAUCAUAUUUGAGCCUUUCCGAUGGCCCAACGUCCCUGUCUGUUCGGUGCUUUCCCGGGUAAGGAGGCAGUAGCUCGUCGGCUGCAACAGAUUCACAACUGUCAGUGUCCAUGCUAGCUGGGCUAACAACAAAUGUAGAAAUUCUGAUGCUAGAUUUUUAUGUGGAAGCCGAACAACUUGUGUCGUCGACAGGUGCAGGUGUAGUACUGCUGGUUGGAGCAGUACUACCAGUAGAGCUGGUAUGUGUCUCUCUGGACACUGGCCUUGCUUUUUUCAAACCAUUUAUACAUUUUCAAGAAAACGGUAGUGGAAUUCCCGUGAGAAAUUAACAGUUAAUGUGAUUGGAUGUUAAUUAUUUGACUAGGCUUCCUGUAUUUGACAUUGUGUUAUUUCGCUGAGUACUAGAUGGUUGAAUUUUAUUUUUGGCAGUGAAACGAGGCUACUCAGGCGAGGGGGAAAAAACAUCACCCAAAUGUAUAGCGCCUGUUGGAAAAUCUAAAUGUAGUGUUUGAAAAUGUGAAUCGCAUUUUUAUUUGGCGUACCCUCGACGGCAUUGCGCGUACCCCAGUCGUACCCCAGUCGCCCUAUGCCAUGUAGUGUUUCUUUCAUGGGGGGUACAAAUCUGUCAAACGUGAGAUGUUUAGACAUAUUGGGACCAUAUCAGGACACCUUCGAGAAGUGAUCCUUCUUCCACUUGUUUAAUAACAAAACAUGCUCAACUCCAUUACUGUGUAAUUACAAUUCCAUUAUCCAAGUAGGCUAAAUUACCAUGGAGCCACAUGCUAAUACAAUGCUUCAACUAGAAUAAUAUGGUUACUACACAGGUAUACAAACGUAACUAAAAGUGUGUUACUGCAAAUGCAUAUUUUCCACAAACCCAAAUGUCAACAUUUUAAGUGUGGUAGUCUUAGACCUACCCUCUAUCCUCGUUUUCACAUGAAUUAUGUCCAUGACAUAAACAUCAGCAGCCUGGGUCCGUAUUCAAAGAUUUUUCUACCAUUUGAAAUCCUUGAGUGGGAUUAUUUGAGAACAUAGCCCACUAGACAAAUCAUUACAAACAGUAGCCAGCCAGGUAGAACAGUUACACAAUUUAGAAAUAGAGAUAAAAUGAAUCCCUUACCUUUGAUCUUCAUAUGGUUGCACUCAGCAGACAUUAAUUUACUCAAUAAAUGUUCCUUUUGUUCGAUAGUCUCUUUAUACCCAAAACCUCCGUUUUGUUUGCGCGUUUUCUUCAGUAAUCCACAGGCUCAAACGCAGUCAAAACAGAAAGAUAAAAAAAUCCAAAUUGUAUCCGUGAAGUUCAUAGAAACAUGUCAAACAAUGUUUAUAUUCAAACCUCAGGUUGUUUUUAUCCUCAAUAAUCGAUAAUAUUUCAACCGGACAAUAACGUCGUCAAUUUAAAGGGUAAACAAGAAACGCACUUUCUCGGUCUGGCGCAGGAAAAAGCUCUGACACGGCAGGGUCCACUCAUUCAGACUGCUCUUACUUCUUCAUUUUUCAGAAUACAAGCCCGAAACAAUUUCUGAAGACUGUUGACAUCUAGUGGAAGGCAUAGAAACUGCAAUUUGAGUCCUAAGUCAAUGGAUACUGUAUUGGCAUUGAAUAGAAAACUACAAAACCAACAAAAGAAACUGCUUCCUGAAUGGAUUUUUCUCAGGUUUUCGCCUGCCAAAUCAGUUCUGUUAUACUCACAGACACUAUUUUAACAGUUUUGCAAACUUUAGAGUGUUUUCUAUCCAAAUCUACCAGUUAUAUGGAUAUCAUAUAUUCUGGGCCCGAGAUGCAGGCAGUUUAAUUUGGGCAUGCAUUUCAGCCAAAAUUCCGAAUGCCUAGAGAAGUUAAUGAAAUGUGUUUUUGUUUAUUAGGCUACUGUGCAGUCUACAAUACAUACUGUAGUAAACAUGGGAAAGUGCCUAAUUCCUUACAUAAGGGAGAGCAGGCCAUGUCUGUACUACAGAAUGCGGGGCAUGCUGGAGACCGGUGUUAUAUCAUAGUUGUGAUGUCUUCACUAUUAUUCUACAAUGUAGAAAAUAGUAAAAAUAAAUAAAGAUCCUGGAAUGAGUAGGUGUGUCCAAACUUUUGACUGGUACUUAAUUAAUUUGAUUAAUGGUGUUUCUAUUCCAUGAAAAACCCUCUGAGUUUCCGUUAGGAUGGAACAGAAAAUAUGGCGCUGUACAACGUGACGCUCGUAAAUCCAGAGCAUUGUCAGUUUGUAAAUUCAGACCGUUUCGUUCCCGGAGCGCGCACUGGAAUAAUCAAGUCGAUAAAUGUUGGGUAGUUAGCCUAUAGUUAAUAUACUGGCAAGUUAGUAGUUAUACAUCAAACGUUAGGUAGCUAGCUAGCAUACCGGUACAUACUGCUGUAAUGAUAUGCUAUGUAGUUCUUAAGGACAGAAUAGCUAACAAACUGUUAGCCAACAUAACGUGUAAGGUAACUUAUUUGAAAAGUCAUUACUUUAUUACACUGAGUAGCAAGAUACCCCUUGGUUCACACCUAGUUUGGCAAUUAGACAGUUCUUUAGUAAAGGUUGAAUAGUCUAUUGUUCAGCUAUUAGCCCCCCUCCCCAACUUGCAAGAAAUUGUUGUUGUUCCCAUCUCGUUCCUUUCCCUCUCCCACACAUCAUCAUUCUGCGCCUGAGUGGCUCGCUUGUGGGUGUGCUGGUAGGAUAUGGCAGCAGCAUCGGUUGUGCGUCAAGAAUUCUGCAUACAGUAGCACGUUUGUAUGAAGGUGUGGUUAUUCACAGGCAAAUUGUUAUAUGCUAUGGAGGUACAUUUGUGCCUUUUUUGUUGAGAGCAAAACUUUUUAAAAACAUUUUCAAUCGAAAAUAAUUGUUCCGAAAGCAACUUUUUCCCGACACAAAGGAAGUCAUAGCGGACACCUACGAAGAAGGACUGUGUGAUGAUGGCAUCUCAGGUAAGCGGCACUGGGCGUUCUUCCGUUCAACUUUUACAUAGCUAGUAGUUAGCUCCUACGAUUCAGUGUCAGUUCAUACCGUAGAAUGAUAAAUCAUGCCAUUAUUAUUCUCAAGCUAACCAAAAGAGAUUAGCGUUUUCGCCGUUUUCAGUUCAAUUAAUCUACCUUUCUUUCAUGGCAACUCAUAAGCAGGCCAUGUCAUAUUUGUUUCAUAGUCGAUAUAUAAUAAUAUUUCAUGACAGUGUAACGGUUAGCUUCUUUUUUCUUUCUUUUUUACAGAAGGCUGAAAACACAAUGUCUGUCACAAAGAGUUAGGGAGUCUUUGCAGCAUGUAGAUGGUGCAGGUAUCAUUGCAUAUUCCCAUCACCUAAUGAACAACCACAAUACCAGUCUGGUGUUAAGCUUUCUGUGCUGUAUUGACGUAUCCUGAAAAUGACAUCUGCUGCUUUAGAUUGAAUGGUCAUAUCUACAAAAAAUAAGCUAUUUUCUUUACUUUCAGAGAGCGAGCUGAUCAAGGGGUCGAAAAUGUAGAUAUUGCCAGAUGAUCACUGUCCGAGGAACAGGCCGUGGAAGCUUUAUUGCUGGCAAAAGUGUCCAUAACCAGAGGUUAUAUCAGCUGUGUUGGUGAACCCCUCCCGCAUCUGAACUGGUUGACACAGAGGGCACAGCAUGAUCAUAGGUAGGUUUUGAUGUGAGAGAGGAUGCCAGUCACGUUAUCGUCAACUCACCCACUCUUAAGAUAACCUUCUGGCCAACUGGGGGCCCAAGGCUGGUUAGGAGACACCGCAAUUGUGAUGAACUGAGAGAAUAUUAGGGUAGCACUGUAAUUCAUUAAUCAUAUGCUGUCUGCCUCUGUUCUUACCUCUUUCCCUUUCUGUCUUCUACACCUCUCUCCCCACCUCGUCUUUCUUCCUCGUUUUAUAAUGCACACCAUAUAUAUGUGCAUUGAAGUACAGAUUGAACUUGUAUUUAUAAUAUUACAAUUAUCAUAAUUAUAAUGCAUGUAUUAUGUAUUUAUAACACUUGGAUAAUGAACUUCUUUCAAGCGUCUUUCAACCACUGGUUGAAAUUAAGUAUCUCAUUGAAAUACUACCCUGUGUCCUCAGAUUAAUGCAGAUGAAGGGAGUUAGAUAUGCAUAGUUUUUCUGUAUAUAUGAAUGAAUUACAAUUAAUUAAUUAUGAAUGAAUGACAAAUCAGCCUUCACUUAAAUCAUGUUUCUAGUCUAUUGCAUAGUUACAAUGUGUAAUCAUUGAUGUCCCAGGAGCAGGAGUGGUAAAACACUGUUUAAGUGUAUAAUUAUAAUGCAUACAUGCAGACACAGCAUCAUUCAAAGAAUGGAGUUUGAUAUGACUGAAAAAUGUCUGAGAUUCAUACCUGAACCGCACCUUUAUUUGCCAAGGAAGAGUACAUGAUCAGUGAAUAUAUUCAAUGUACAGGUUACAAUGUGGGAAUCUCAUGCGUGGUAAUAACUACAGUACUUGUAUAUACAGUUGAUGUCGGAAGUUUACAUCCACCUUCGCCAAAUACAUUUAAACUCAGUUUUUCACAAUUCCUGACAUUUAAUCUUAGUAAAAAAUCCCUGUUUUAGGUCAGUUAGGAUCACCACUUUAUUUUAAGAAUGGGAAAUAUCAGAAUAAUUGUAGAGAGAAUGAUUUAUUUCAGCUUUUAUUUAUUUCAUCACAUUCCCCGUGGGUCAGAAGUUUACAUACACUCAAUUAGUAUUUGGUAGCAUUGCCUUUACAUUGUUUAACUUAGGUAAAAUGUUUUGGGUAGCCUUCCACAAGCGUCCCACAAUAAAUUGGGUGAAUUUUGGCCCAUUCCUCCUGACAGAGCUGGUGUAACUUGAUCAGGUUUGUAGGCCUCCUUGCUCGCUUUUGCAGUUCUGCCCACAUAUUUUCUAUAAGAUUGAGGUUAGGGCUUUGUGAUGGUCACCCCAAUACCUUGACUUUGUUGUCCUUUAGCCAAUUUGCCACAACUUUGGAUGUAUGCUUGGGGUCAUUGUCCAUUUGGAAGACCCAUUUGCGACCAAGCUUUAACUUUCUGACUGAUGUCUUGAUGUUGCUUCAAUAUAUCCAUAUCAUUUUCCUACCUCGUGAUGCCAUCUAUUUUGUGAAGUGCACCAGUCCCUCCUGCAGCAAAGCACCCCCACAACAUGAUGCUGCCACCCCCGUGCUUCACGGUUGGGAUGAUGCUCUUCGGCUUGCAAGCCUCCCCCUUUUUCCUCCAAACAUAAUGAUAGUCAUUAUGGCCAAACGGUUCUAUUUUUGUUUCAUCAGACCAGAGGACAUUUCUCCAAAAAGGAUGAUCUUUGUCCCCAUAUGCAGUUGAAAACCGUAGUCUCUUUUUUUGUAUGGCUGUUUUGGAGCAGUGGCUUCUUCCUUGCUGAGCGGCCUUUCAAGUUAUGUCAAUAUAGGACUCAUUUUACUGUGGAUAUAGAUACUUUUGUACCUGUUUCCUCCAGAAUCUUCACAGGGUUCUUUGCUGCUGUUCUGGGAUUUAUUUGCACGUUUAGCACCAAAGUACAUUAAUCUCUAGGAGAGAGAACGCGUCUCCUUCCUGAGCGGUAUGACGGCUGCGUGGUCGCAUGGUGUUUGUACUUGCGUACUAUUGUUUGUACAGAUGAACGUGGUACCUUCAGGCGUUUGGAAAUUGCUCCCAAGGAUGAACCAGACUUGUGGUGGUCUACAAUUUUCUGAGGUCUUGGCUGAUUUCUUUUGAUUUUCCCAUGAUGUCAAGCAAAGAGGCACUGAGUUUGAAGGUAGGCCUUGAAACACAUCCACACCUCCAAUUGACUCAAAUGAUGUCAAUUAGCCUAUCAGAAGCUUCUAAAGCCAUGACAUUAUUUUCUGGCACAGUCAACUUAGUGUAUGUAAACUUCUGUCCCACUGGUAUUGUGAUACAGUGAAAUAAUCUGUCUGUAAACAAUUGUUGGAAAAAUUACUUGUGUCAUGCAUAAAGUAGGUGUCUUAACCGACUUGCCAAAACUAUAGUUUGUUAACAAGAAAUUUGUGGAGUGGUUGAAAAACGAGUUUUAAUGACUCCAACAUAAGUGUAUGUUAACUUUCGACUUCAACUGUUGGACUUGCAUCCUUGGUACAGUAAAGUUAUUAUAUUCUACUCUAUCCAUAGGCUUCAUUAAUGCCAUUCAGACGUGAAAUUGAUACAACAACUUUGAUAGCUGAGGUUCAUAGAUUGGUAUGAAUAUUAGAUCAGAACCUAAUGUUUUAGGGUCCAUACAUAGAUUGACUACAUACUGUAGCUAGCUACACAUCCGUAGGCAUACAGUAAUUUUUAUCCUCCACUACACAAUAAGCAAGUACAUAGUUAGCUAGCUAUGUUACUUCUGCUGCAUUGCAAGGCUAGCUUACACAAUUGUACAUUCAAUUUGCAGUAAAUGCUUUAGCUAGCUAGAUUCUUUACAUCCACUGUUUCACAAGACGACAGCCUGGUUUGCUGUUUUUUUUUAGGAGUCCCUAAAAUAUUAAACACACGAAUUACAAAUUCAUUAUCCUGUCAUAAUACUAGCUAGCUGACUAAUGUUAGCUAGUCAGAUAAAUCGCUAUUUAGCAAGUUUUGUAAAUUAACUUCAUGACAAAAAAAAGAUGCUCAAACUUUGUCUACAUUAACUAACAUAUUCCUCAAUUUUACAUAUUUUGCUUGACGUUAUAACUACUUACAUUUGGUUCCACGGUAAUACUUUUUCAGCCAUCUUUGUUGAAGAACGCCACCAGGGACGGGUAGCUCGCGUCAAAAUUUGUCAUUGGAACCACUCGAUAUGAUUGGUCAUAUAAAAACCGUGGGACCCAAAUGCAUAAUGAGUGCUCUAACUCCCCCUUCUGGUGGUCUGGAGCAAUGAAGCUGAGACGCUGGGUACCUCUAAGUCCCGUGGUGCGAGCUCGCAACUUUUCAAUUAUUAUUACAAAAUAUUUGAUAUUUUUUUACUUUGAAGCCUCGUUUUUGCUUUCAGAACAAUUAUUUUUGAUUGAAAAUAAAGUUUUGCUCUCGACAAAAAGACAACCAUUUGUUGCAAGUUGGGGAGGGGGCUAAUAGCUGAACAAUAGACUAUUCAACCUUUACUAAAGAAUAGUCUAAUAGCCGAGCUAGGUGUGAAAAAAAACCGUCCUAUCGCAGACCAGAUUAGCCCUAACGACCAAGGGGGAGUUAAAGCACUGAUUAUGCUACCAGUCAAAAGUUUGGACACGCCUACUCAUUCCAGGAUUUUUCUUUAUUUUUACUAUUUUCUACAUUAUAGAAUAAUAGUGAAGACAUCACAACUAUGAAAUAGCACAUAUGGAGUCAGUUAAGAACAAAUUCUUAUUUACAAGGACAGCCUACUCAUUCCUCCCCGUCAGGGAAUUGAACCCCAGUCUCCCACGUACCCUCCUCGUCUCUGGUAAUGCCAUUAUAGAAGACCUUCAAACGCUUCUCAAAGAUGCCCUCUGGUGGUCAAACUAGCACUAACUUGCAGUAACAGAAAAAAUGGCUGGCAAUUAAAUGACUUGCCACAGAACGUUGCAGCAGUUCGCAGGGUGUGCCGCAGUAUGACGCAACUUUUAAAGGAGGAACCACUGUAGGCCUGAUCACCGACAACGAUGAGACAGCCUAUAGGGAGGAGGUCAGAGACCUGGCAGUGUGGUGCCAGGACAACAACCUCUCGCUCAAUGUGAGCAAGGCAAAGGAGCUGAUCGUGGACUACAGGAAAAGGCAGGCCGAACAGGCCCCCGUAACAUCGACGAGGCUGUAGUGGAGCGGGUCGAGUGUUUCAAGUUCCUUGGUGUCCACAUCACCAACGAACUAUCAUGGUCCAAACACACCAAGACAGUCGUGAAGAGGGCACGACAACACCUUUUCCCCCUCAGGAGACUGAAAAUAUUUGGCAUGGGUCCCCAGAUCCUCAAAAAGUUCUACAGCUGCACAAUCGAGAGCAAAUUGACCGGUUGCAUCACCGCCUGGUAUGGCAACUGCUCGGCAUCUAACCAUAAGGCGCUACAGAGGGUAGUGCGUACGGCCCAGUACAUCACUGGGGCCAAGCUCCCUGCCGUCCAGGACCUAUAUACUAGGCGGUGUCAGAGGAAAGCCCAAAAACUUGUUAGAGACUCCAGUCAUAGACUAUUUUCUCUGCUACAGCACGGCAAGCGGUACCGGAGCGCCAAGUCUAGGACCAAAAGGCUUCUUAACAGCUUCUACCCCCAAGCCAUAAGACUGCUGAACAAUUAAUCAAAUGGCCACUGGGCUAUUUACACUAUGUACCUACAUGUACAAAUGAUCUUGACUAACCUGUACCCCCGCACAUGACUCUGUACUCCCUCUAUAUAGCCUCGUUAUUGUUAUUUUAUUUUGUUUUUAUUCUUUUUUUUGUUGAAUUUAUUUGGUAAAUAUUUUCUUAACUCUUUCUUGAACUGCAUUGUUGUUAAGGGCUUUUAAGGAAGCAUUUCACGGUUAGGUCUACACUUGUUGUGUUUGGCGCGUGUGACAAAUAAAGUUUGAUUUGAUUGGUCAAAAUAUGCGUUUUCAAUUGGACACCGUUUGGACACUUAUGAAGUGAAAAGCCACAAAGCCCUUUUUAACUUGGAAAGACUCCGCCACCACCAGGUUAGAGAUGUGAUGAUUGUGGCGUGAAUUCAGUUGGCCCACUGUACUAUAGUCCUCAAUCAUGACAUAGCCACUUAUCUGUUAGUCAUGGUUUGGCUUUGUUGUAGAACAAUACAAUUGCCUCACUAUCAUGUCAGAAGAAAAAGAUAAGAGCGAUUGACUGGUUGUCGACACCUCUUUGUGUGUCUCUGCCUCUCUUGUCUGUCUCGCUGUGUGUCCGUU
Molecule: long non-coding RNA, 11801 nt
Organism: Salvelinus fontinalis (brook trout)
Lineage: Eukaryota; Metazoa; Chordata; Actinopteri; Salmoniformes; Salmonidae
Exons: 3
Source: RefSeq, a predicted model, not a curated record